CUGGUCACGUAUGCGGUGUUUUAUUGGGAAGUGCUUGAAUGACGGUAUUUUACCUGCACACCUUUUAGAAGAGGUUGUCUGUACCUGGGGUUUCAAACAGGAACAACUGAAGAAUGGCCUUUCCGAAGAGUCCAGGACAGUGUUCAGUCUACACCAAAGGAAAAACAGAGGAAAGUAGAUGUCAUGAGGGUUAAAAGGAGCAGGGUGCCAUUAGAGCGGACCAACAGCAAGAAAAGCAGGUUAAACUGGUCCGCGGUCCGCAUGAGGGCGAUUGCUGUGAAGAUGGAUGAAGCCAUCGGGAGUUUGGGAGCCAGCCUUCAACACACAUCAUUACAGACAGUAGCAAGCUGAUCAUCCUGUCCGCAGCACCUCUGUUUGAACCCACAGUACAUGCAU
Molecule: long non-coding RNA, 396 nt
Organism: Pygocentrus nattereri (red-bellied piranha)
Lineage: Eukaryota; Metazoa; Chordata; Actinopteri; Characiformes; Serrasalmidae
Exons: 3
Source: RefSeq, a predicted model, not a curated record